GUCUAUGGCCAUACCACCCUAAACAUACCUGAUCUCGUUUGAACUUGGAAGCUAAGCAGGGUCAGGCCUGGUUAGUACUUGGACAGGAGAAAAUGGCUAUUGGAU
Molecule: ribosomal RNA, 105 nt
Filed under: Carlito syrichta (Philippine tarsier)
Lineage: Eukaryota; Metazoa; Chordata; Mammalia; Primates; Tarsiidae
Source: RNAcentral